GACGAACGCUGGCGGCGUGCUUAACACAUGCAAGUCGAACGGAAAGGCCCUGCUUUUGUGGGGUGCUCGAGUGGCGAACGGGUGAGUAACACGUGAGUAACCUGCCCUUGACUUUGGGAUAACUUCAGGAAACUGGGGCUAAUACCGGAUAGGAGCUCCUGCUGCAUGGUGGGGGUUGGAAAGUUUCGGCGGUUGGGGAUGGACUCGCGGCUUAUCAGCUUGUUGGUGGGGUAGUGGCUUACCAAGGCUUUGACGGGUAGCCGGCCUGAGAGGGUGACCGGCCACCUUGGUACUGAGAUACGGCCCCGACUCCUCCUGGCGGCCGCCGUGUGGACUCUUGCACACUUGGCGGAAGCCUGCUGCAGCAACGCCGCGUGCGGGAUGACGGCCUUCGGAUUGUCAACCGCUUUCGCCUGUGACGAAGCGUGAGUGACGGUACUGGGUAAAGACGCACCGGCUAACUACGUG
This 468-nucleotide ribosomal RNA is filed under the name uncultured bacterium. RNAcentral describes it as "partial 16S ribosomal RNA". It matches the Rfam family "Bacterial small subunit ribosomal RNA", at positions 28 to 507 of the family's 1533-position model. The record is from RNAcentral.